This is an unclassified non-coding RNA of Gorilla gorilla gorilla (western lowland gorilla), 102 nucleotides long. It matches the Rfam family "Y RNA". From Rfam's summary of the family: Y RNAs are components of the Ro ribonucleoprotein particle (Ro RNP), in association with Ro60 and La proteins. The Y RNAs and Ro60 and La proteins are well conserved, but the function of the Ro RNP is not known. In humans the RNA component can be one of four small RNAs -- hY1, hY3, hY4 and hY5. The record is from Ensembl. Lineage: Eukaryota; Metazoa; Chordata; Mammalia; Primates; Hominidae.
GGUUUGUCUGAAGGUACUGAUUCAUCUCAACUGAUUCAUAGUCAGUUGACGAUCAAAGUCCUUGUUCUACUCUUUCUCAGUACUGCACUUGACUAGUGUAAA